GGGGCUGACCGGUUUCGACGCCGGAAACGGAAUCCGAAGUGCAUGCCGAGGCGCCAUGCCCUCGUAAAUCAUGUGGCAAACAAGCUAGUUGCGAACGACGCUAACUACGCCCUCGCCGCCUAAAUCCGGCGAGCGGUUGACCUUCUGGUGCCGAUACCGGUUGGAUCGACCGUCGACUCUUAUCGGAUCGCAGCCCAGCCCGCCCUUGGCCUAGACUGCUAAAACCCUAAGGGGAUAAGCGUCGGCGAUCCGUGCCCGUCCGGGAGCCGACGACGAAAACCAAAGACCGGGCUACGCAUGUAGAACUGAGGGCUACGAUCUGGCGGACGCGGGUUCAAUUCCCGCCAGCUCCACCA
This 356-nucleotide transfer-messenger RNA is filed under the name Solimonas aquatica. RNAcentral describes it as "Standard tmRNA". It matches the Rfam family "transfer-messenger RNA". From Rfam's summary of the family: Bacterial tmRNA, also known as 10Sa RNA or SsrA, is named for its dual tRNA and mRNA-like properties. The record is from Rfam by way of RNAcentral. Lineage: Bacteria; Pseudomonadati; Pseudomonadota; Gammaproteobacteria; Nevskiales; Nevskiaceae.